AUCAACUUUCGAUGGUAGGAUAGAGGCCUACCAUGGUGGUAACGGGUAACGGGGUGUUAGGGCACGACACCGGAGAGGGAGCCUGAGAAACGGCUACCACAUCCAAGGAUGGCAGCAGGCGCGCAAAUUACCCAAUCCCGACACGGGGAGGUAGUGACAAUAAAUAACAAUACGGGGUUCUUUCGGAUCUCGUAAUUGGAAUGAGUACAAUUUAAAUCUCUUAACGAGGAACAAUUGGAGGGCAAGUCUGGUGCCAGCAGCCGCGGUAAUUCCAGCUCCAAUAGCGUAUAUUAAAGUUGUUGCAGUUAAAAAGCUCGUAGUUGAAUUUCGGGAUCAAAUUGUUGGUCGUGCUUCGGUACGCACUGGCAUUAUUGGUUCCUACCUUCUGAAGAACCGCGAUGUCAUUAAUUUGGUGUCGUGGGGAAUCAGGACUGUUACUUUGAAAAAAUUAGAGUGUUUAAAGCAGGCGCACGCCUGAAUACAUUAGCAUGGAAUAAUGAAAUAGGACGUUUGAUUCUAUUUUGUUGGUUUCUAGGAUCGACGUAAUGAUUAAUAGGGAUAGUUGGGGGCAUUAGUAUUCAAUUGUCAGAGGUGAAAUUCUUGGGAUUUAUUGAAGACUAACUACUGCGAAAGCAUUUGCCAAGGAUGUUUUCAUUAAUCAAGAACGAAAGUUAGGGGAUCGAAAGACGAUCAGAUACCGUCGUAGUCUUAACCAUAAACUAUGCCGACUAGGGAUCGGAUGAUGUUAAUUUUAUAAUGACUCAUUCGGCGCCUUACGGGAAACCAAAGUGUUUGGGUUC
This 800-nucleotide ribosomal RNA is filed under the name uncultured Glomus. Its description in RNAcentral is "SSU rRNA". It matches the Rfam family "Eukaryotic small subunit ribosomal RNA", at positions 314 to 1114 of the family's 1831-position model. Lineage: Eukaryota; Fungi; Glomeromycota; Glomeromycetes; Glomerales; Glomeraceae. The record is from RNAcentral.